This 253-nucleotide ribosomal RNA is filed under the name uncultured bacterium. Its description in RNAcentral is "partial 16S ribosomal RNA". It matches the Rfam family "Bacterial small subunit ribosomal RNA", at positions 524 to 776 of the family's 1533-position model. The record is from RNAcentral.
UACGGAGGGGGCUAGCGUUGUUCGGAAUUACUGGGCGUAAAGCGUACGUAGGCGGCUUUGUAAGUUAGAGGUGAAAGCCCGGGGCUCAACUCCGGAAUUGCCUUUAAGACUGCAUCGCUUGAAUCAUGGAGAGGUGAGUGGAAUUCCGAGUGUAGAGGUGAAAUUCGUAGAUAUUCGGAAGAACACCAGUGGCGAAGUCGACUCACUGGACAUGUAUUGACGCUGAGGUACGAAAGCGUGGGGAGCAAACAGG